Molecule: ribosomal RNA, 408 nt
Filed under: uncultured bacterium
Lineage: Bacteria
Description: partial 16S ribosomal RNA
Rfam family: Bacterial small subunit ribosomal RNA
Source: RNAcentral
GACGAACGCUGGCGGCGUGCUUAACACAUGCAAGUCGAACGAAGUGGCGCACGGGUGAGUAACGCGUAAUCAACCUGCCCUUCCGAGGGGAACAACAGUUGGAAACGACUGCUAAUACCGCAUACUGAAGUCGGGGAUUGCGUCGGAUGAGCUAGUUGGAGGGGUGACGGCCCACCAAGGCGAUGAUCAGUAGCCGGGCUGAGAGGAGGAACGGGAAAAUUGGGAAUGAGACAAGGCCCAGACUCCUAAGGGAGGGAGCAGUGGGGAAUUUUCCGCAAUGGACGAAAGUCUGACGGAGCAACGCCGCGGUAGUGAUGACGGCCUUCGGGUUGGAAAGCUCUGUUAAUCGGGACGCGGUACCGGAAUAGAAAGCCACGGCUAACUACGUGCCAGCAGCCGCGGUAAUUC